CACGGAGUUAGCCGGUGCUUCUUCUGCGAGUAACGUCAAUUGAUGAACGUAUUAAGUUCACCACCUUCCUCCUCGCUGAAAGUGCUUUACAACCCGAAGGCCUUCUUCACACACGCGGCAUGGCUGCAUCAGGCUUGCGCCCAUUGUGCAAUAUUCCCCACUGCUGCCUCCCGUAGGGAGUCUGGACCGUGUCUCAGUUCCAGUGUGGCUGGUCAUCCUCUCAGACCAGCUAGGGAUCGUCGCCUAGGUGAGCCAUUACCCCACCUACUAGCUAAUCCCAUCUGGGCACAUCUGAUGGCAAGAGGCCCGAAGGUCCCCCUCUUUGGUCUUGCGACGUUAUGCGGUAUUAGCUACCGUUUCCAGUAGUUAUCCCCCUCAUCAGGCAGUUUCCCAGACAUUACUCACCCGUCCGCCGCUCGUCACCCAGGGAGCAAGCUCCCCUGUGCUACCGCUCGACUUGCAUGUGUUAGCCUGCCGCAGCGUUA
RNAcentral lists this ribosomal RNA (485 nucleotides) under uncultured Serratia sp. RNAcentral's name for it is "partial 16S ribosomal RNA". Lineage: Bacteria; Pseudomonadati; Pseudomonadota; Gammaproteobacteria; Enterobacterales; Yersiniaceae. The record is from RNAcentral.